GACCCGGUAGCUCAGUCGGUAGAGCAACGGACUUUUAAUCCGCAGGUCGUGGGUUCGAUCCCCACCCGGGUCA
This 73-nucleotide transfer RNA is filed under the name Gemmatimonadaceae bacterium. Its description in RNAcentral is "tRNA-Lys". It matches the Rfam family "tRNA". From Rfam's summary of the family: Transfer RNA (tRNA) molecules are approximately 80 nucleotides in length. Their secondary structure includes four short double-helical elements and three loops (D, anti-codon, and T loops). Further hydrogen bonds mediate the characteristic L-shaped molecular structure. tRNAs have two regions of fundamental functional importance: the anti-codon, which is responsible for specific mRNA codon recognition, and the 3' end, to which the tRNAs corresponding amino acid is attached (by aminoacyl-tRNA synthetases). tRNAs cope with the degeneracy of the genetic code in two manners: having more than one tRNA (with a specific anti-codon) for a particular amino acid; and 'wobble' base-pairing, i.e. permitting non-standard base-pairing at the 3rd anti-codon position. The record is from RNAcentral. Lineage: Bacteria; Pseudomonadati; Gemmatimonadota; Gemmatimonadia; Gemmatimonadales; Gemmatimonadaceae. RNAcentral also lists the same sequence under 1 other name.